GAUGAACGCUGGCGGCGUGCCUAAUACAUGCAAGUCGAGCGAACAGACGAGGAGCUUGCUCCUCUGACGUUAGCGGCGGACGGGUGAGUAACACGUGGAUAACCUACCUAUAAGACUUGGAUAACUUCGGGAAACCGGAGCUAAUACCGGAUAAUAUAUUGAACCGCAUGGUUCAAUAGUGAAAGACGGUUUUGCUGUCAAUUAUAGAUGGAUCCGCGCCGCAUUAGCUAGUUGGUAAGGUAACGGCUUACCAAGGCGACGAUGCGUAGCCGACCUGAGAGGGUGAUCGGCCACACUGGAACUGAGACACGGUCCAGACUCCUACGGGAGGCAGCAGUAGGGAAUCUUCCGCAAUGGGCGAAAGCAUGACGGAGCAACGCCGCGUGAGUGAUGAAGGUCUUCGGAUCGUAAAACUCUGUUAUUAGGGAAGAACAAAUGUGUAAGUAACUAUGCACGUAUUGACGGUACCUAAUCAGAAAGCCACGGCUAACUACGUG
RNAcentral lists this ribosomal RNA (497 nucleotides) under uncultured bacterium. RNAcentral's name for it is "partial 16S ribosomal RNA". It matches the Rfam family "Bacterial small subunit ribosomal RNA", at positions 28 to 507 of the family's 1533-position model. The record is from RNAcentral.